GCCGCAGCUCCUUGGUAGAGCAUCUGCUUUGCAUGUAGAAGGUCCCAGGUUCAGCCCCUGGUAUCUCCU
Non-coding RNA from Podarcis lilfordi (Lilford's wall lizard), 69 nucleotides. NCBI's taxonomy places the organism in Eukaryota, Metazoa, Chordata, Lepidosauria, Squamata, Lacertidae. The record is from the annotation of a GenBank genome assembly.